UACGUAGGGUGCGAGCGUUAAUCGGAAUUACUGGGCGUAAAGCGUGCGUAGGCGGUUCUCCAAGUCCGUUGUGAAAGCCCCGGGCUCAACCUGGGAAUGGCAGUGGAAACUAGGGGACUGGAAUCUGGCAGAGGGGGGUGGAAUGCCGCGUGUAGCAGUGAAAUGCGUGGAGAUGCGGCGGAACACCGAUGGCGAAGGCAGCCCCCUGGGCUGAGAUUGACGCUCAGGCACGAAAGCGUGGGGAGCAAACAGG
Molecule: ribosomal RNA, 253 nt
Filed under: uncultured bacterium
Lineage: Bacteria
Description: partial 16S ribosomal RNA
Rfam family: Bacterial small subunit ribosomal RNA
Source: RNAcentral